This 759-nucleotide ribosomal RNA is filed under the name uncultured bacterium. Its description in RNAcentral is "bacterial SSU rRNA". It matches the Rfam family "Bacterial small subunit ribosomal RNA", at positions 66 to 804 of the family's 1533-position model. The record is from RNAcentral.
UCUUCACCGAGUGCUUGCACUCACCGAAGAAACUGAGCCCCUAACGGGUGAGUAACACGUGGGUAACCUGCCCAAAAGAGGGGGAUAACACUUGGAAACAGGUGCUAAUACCGCAUAACAACAAAAACCGCCUGGUUUUUGUUUAAAAGAUGGUUUCGGCUAUCACUUUUGGAUGGACCCGCGGCGUAUUAGCUAGUUGGUAAGGUAACGGCUUACCAAGGCAGUGAUACGUAGCCGAACUGAGAGGUUGAUCGGCCACAUUGGGACUGAGACACGGCCCAAACUCCUACGGGAGGCAGCAGUAGGGAAUCUUCCACAAUGGACGCAAGUCUGAUGGAGCAACGCCGCGUGAGUGAAGAAGGUUUUCGGAUCGUAAAACUCUGUUGUUAGAGAAGAACGUGCGUGAGAGUAACUGUUCAUGCAGUGACGGUAUCUAACCAGAAAGCCACGGCUAACUACGUGCCAGCAGCCGCGGUAAUACGUAGGUGGCAAGCGUUGUCCGGAUUUAUUGGGCGUAAAGGGAACGCAGGCGGUCUUUUAAGUCUGAUGUGAAAGCCUUCGGCUUAACCGAAGUCGUGCAUUGGAAACUGGGAGACUUGAGUGCAGAAGAGGAGAGUGGAACUCCAUGUGUAGCGGUGAAAUGCGUAGAUAUAUGGAAGAACACCAGUGGCGAAAGCGGCUCUCUGGUCUGUAACUGACGCUGAGGUUCGAAAGCGUGGGUAGCAAACAGGAUUAGAUACCCUGGUAGUCCACGCUGUA